Molecule: long non-coding RNA, 1451 nt
Filed under: Coturnix japonica (Japanese quail)
Lineage: Eukaryota; Metazoa; Chordata; Aves; Galliformes; Phasianidae
Description: lncRNA (ENSCJPG00005001826.1)
Source: RNAcentral
AUGCAGUCCCAUAGGGCUCCAUUGCCCUGCGUCCAUUCCAUCUCGUCCAGCAGGGGGCAGCAAAACGUUCCCGGUGUGUGUUUAGGGGGGGGGGGGGGGGGGGUUGGCCGCCAUCCAUCCCCCCAUCAAUCAAUCAACCCCCAUCAAUCAAUCAACCCCCAUCAAUCGAUCAACCCCCGUCAAUCAAUCAACUCCUCCCCCCAUUCCAUUGGUGGGAGGGUCCUUCUCUCAGCCCCCUCAAUUCCAUUGGUCGGAGGUCAAUCAAUCAAUCAAACUCCCCAAUCCCAUUGGUGGGAGGUCAAUCAAUCAAUCAACCCCCUAUUCCAUUGGUGGGAGGUCAAUCAAUCAAUCAACCCCCCCCCGUCAAUCAAUCAAGCCCCCCCAUUCCAUUGGUGGGAGGGCUCUUCUCCCACAGCCCCAAUCCCAUUGGUGGGAGGUCAAUCAAUCAACCCCUUGUGGGAGGAUCCUUCUCUCAGUCCCCUGAAUUCCAUUGGUCGGAGGUCAAUCAAUCAAUCAAUCAACCCCAUUCCAUUGGUGGGAGGUCCAUUGGUGGGAGGGUCCUUCUCUCAGUCCCCUGAAUUCCAUUGGUCAGAGGUCAAUCAAUCAAUCAACCCCCCUAUUCCACUGGUGGGAGGGUCCUUCUCACCCCCCCCCAACCCCAUUGGUGGUCAAUCCAUCAAUCAAUCAACCCCCCCCAUUCCAUUGGUGGAGGGUCCUUCUCUCACAAGCCCAAUCCCAUUGGUAGGUCAAUCCAUCAUCAAUCAAUCCCCACCUACUCCAUUAGGUGGAGGGUCCUUCUCGUCACAGCCCCAACCCAUUGGUGGGAGUCAACUCAAUCAACCCGCUUGUUGGAGAGUUCCUUUCUCACCCCCCCCCAACCCCAUUGGUGGUCAAUCAUCAAAUCACCCCAUCCCCCGAUCCCAUUGCGCUGGGGGGGGGCAUGCUCUCACAGCUUGAGCUCAUUGCCACCUUGAGGCGAUGGUUCUUGAAGUGCCAUGGAUGGUGCCGCGAUCGUUUGGAACCGGACCUCCGUUCAACGGAGAGCCGGGGCAGUUUGCAAACCUCCAUCUCCCAUUGACGAAGGAGUCGUUGGCGCGGGCUCCAUAGUGCACACAGCAGACGAAGCGCUCCUGCAGCUCACAGCGGCAGCUGUUGGCGGUCCAGCACUUUGCCGGAUCUCCGCUCACAUCUCCCCAGGUUCCAGCUGACGUUGUUUUCAUGCUCCGACGUGAAGCGUAAGGAGCAGGAGCUUGGCGUCCCGGGCGGUCGUCCUGUCCAGCCCACGGCCGGGCUGGAGGGAAAUGGGGGGUGAGAUGGGGGGAUAUUGGGGAUAUGGGGUAUGGGGGGGAUAUGGGGGCAAGUGGUGAUGGGGCGUAUGGUGGGAUUGGGGAUAACGGGGAGGGGGUAACAAGGUUAUGGGGGGUGAUGGGGUGAUGGGGGGGUGAUGGGGA